Molecule: ribosomal RNA, 1359 nt
Filed under: uncultured bacterium
Lineage: Bacteria
Description: bacterial SSU rRNA
Rfam family: Bacterial small subunit ribosomal RNA
Source: RNAcentral
GAUGAACGCUAGCUACAGGCUUAACACAUGCAAGUCGAGGGGUAGCAUGUUGGUUGCUUGCAACCGAUGAUGACGACCGGCGCACGGGUGAGUAACGCGUAUCCAACUUGGCUUAUACUUAGGGAUAACCCGUUGAAAGACGGCCUAAUACCUAAUGGUUUAUAAUAGUUGCAUGACUUUUGUAAUAAAGAUUUAUCGGUAUAAGAUAGGGAUGCGUCUGAUUAGUUAGUUGGUGAGGUAACGGCUCACCAAGGCAUCGAUCAGUAGGGGUUCUGAGAGGAAGGUCCCCCACAUUGGAACUGAGACACGGCCCAAACUCCUACGGGAGGCAGCAGUGAGGAAUAUUGGUCAAUGGACGUAAGUCUGAACCAGCCAAGUAGCGUGCAGGAUGACGGCCCUAUGGGUUGUAAACUGCUUUUAUGUGAGAAUAAAGUUAACUACGUGUAGUUAUUUGCAUGUAUCACAUGAAUAAGGACCGGCUAAUUCCGUGCCAGCAGCCGCGGUAAUACGGAAGGUCCAGGCGUUAUCCGGAUUUAUUGGGUUUAAAGGGAGCGUAGGCCGUUUGGUAAGCGUGCUGUGAAAUUUAGAGGCUCAACCUCUACCGUGCAGCGCGAACUGUCAGACUUGAGUGCGUAGUAGGUAGGCGGAAUUCGUGGUGUAGCGGUGAAAUGCUUAGAUAUCACGAAGAACUCCGAUUGCGAAGGCAGCUUACCGUAUCGCAACUGACGCUGAUGCUCGAAGGUGCGGGUAUCGAACAGGAUUAGAUACCCUGGUAGUCCGCACAGUAAACGAUGGAUGCUCGCUGUUGGCUUUUAUAGUCAGUGGCUUAGCGAAAGCGUUAAGCAUCCCACCUGGGGAGUACGCCGGCAACGGUGAAACUCAAAGGAAUUGACGGGGGCCCGCACAAGCGGAGGAACAUGUGGUUUAAUUCGAUGAUACGCGAGGAACCUUACCCGGGCUUGAACUGCAGGAGAACGAUUCAGAGAUGAUGAGGUCCUUCGGGACUCCUGUGGAGGUGCUGCAUGGUUGUCGUCAGCUCGUGCCGUGAGGUGUCGGCUUAAGUGCCAUAACGAGCGCAACCCCUUUUCUUAGUUGCCAUCGGGUGAUGCCGGGCACUCUGAGGAUACUGCCACCGUAAGGUGUGAGGAAGGUGGGGAUGACGUCAAAUCAGCACGGCCCUUACGUCCGGGGCUACACACGUGUUACAAUGGGGCAUACAGAGUGUUGGUUGCAUGUAAAUGUAAUCUAAUCUUUAAAGUGCUUCUCAGUUCGGACUGGGGUCUGCAACCCGACCCCACGAAGCUGGAUUCGCUAGUAAUCGCGCAUCAGCCAUGGCGCGGUGAAUACGUUCCCGGGCCU